AGAAUUGUUUUUUAAUUAACCAUUAAAAAUGAGCCAACUUGUGUUUGAAGGUGGAUUUUUGGAUGUUCAAAAAGGAUUAACAAGCUUACCAAGCGUUUUUACUACUGGAAAAUAUACGAAUGAAUUACACAUCCCAGGGUAUUCGUACGCAGGUUAACCCGAGGCCUGAGUGAGGAAGUCAAUGUCCUUGCUAGUCACUAUUUGUGGCGACACCUUCAAAUUGCGUGAAACCCGUCAUACAGCUUCAAGUACCACUUCAAUUGAGAAAUCUUUUGAAGGAACAGAGGUAACUCCUCUUCCCAAAGGUAACAAGCUUGAAGACAAGGUGGCAAUGCGCAGCCAAGCUCCUAAGUAUAAAAAUAUAAGGAGAAGGUUCAGAGAGCAGACGGAGGUGGGCGGUAAUUUAUCCGCUUAAGGUGUGCUCCAGCCUCUUUCGAAAGAUUGAG
Molecule: non-coding RNA, 446 nt
Organism: Macrostomum lignano
Lineage: Eukaryota; Metazoa; Platyhelminthes; Macrostomidae
Source: Rfam